Molecule: non-coding RNA, 24 nt
Filed under: Mus musculus (house mouse)
Lineage: Eukaryota; Metazoa; Chordata; Mammalia; Rodentia; Muridae
Source: RNAcentral
UCCUUCACUGGGUGCUUUGCCUUA